UGAAUACGAGACACUAAGGUGUUGAAGUAGUGUAUGUCAUACUUCCAAGAAAAGCUUGCACUGUCAUAAAUAAUAAAUGCCUGUACCAUAACCGACACAGGUGGGUAGGUAGAGUAUACUAAGGGGCGCGAGAUAACUCUCUCUAAGGAACUCGGCAAAAUAACUCCGUAACUUCGGGAGAAGGAGUGCCUUAUUUUUAAGGUUGCAAUAACAAGAUCCAAGCAACUGUUUAUCAAAAACACAGGUCUCCGCUAAGUCGUAAGACGAUGUAUGGGGGCUGACGCCUGCCCAGUGCCAGAAGGUUAAAGAAGUUGGUUAGCAAUUGCGAAGCUGAUAACUGAAGCCCUGGUGAACGGCGGCCGUAACAAUAACGGUCCUAAGGUAGCGAAAUUCCUUGUCGGGUAAGUUCCGACCCGCACGAAAGGCGUAAUGAUUUGGAUACUGUCUCGGAGAGGGGCUCGGUGAAAUAGACUUGUCUGUGAAGAUGCGGACUACCUGCACCAGGACAGAAAGACCCUAUGAAGCUUUACUGUAACUUGAAAUUGAAAUUGGACUUUAUUCGCGCAGUAUAGGUGGGAGGCGUUGAUUAUAAUCUUGUGGGAUUAUUGGAGCCAUCAGUGAGAUACCACUCUUGUAAUGUUAGAUUUCUAACUUUGAAUCAUUAUCUGGUCAAAGAACAGUUUCAGGCGGGCAGUUUGACUGGGGCGGUCGCCUCCCAAAUGGUAACGGAGGCGUACAAAGGUUUCCUCUGAACGGUUAGAAAUCGUAUCUAGAGUGUAAAGGCAUAAGGAAGCUUGACUGUGAGACCUACAAGUCGAGCAGGGACGAAAGUCGGUCUUAGUGAUCUGACGGUACUGAGUGGAAAGGCCGUCACUCAACGGAUAAAAGUUACUCUAGGAUAACAGGCUGAUCUCCCCCAAGAGUUCACAUCGACGGGGAGGUUUGGCACCUCGAUGUCGGCUCAUCGCAUCCCGGGGCAGUAGUACGUCCCAAGGGUUGGGCUGUUCGCCCAUGAAAGCGGUACGCGAGCUGGGUUCAGAACGUCGUGAGACAGUUCGGUCCAUAUCCGGUGUAGGCGUUAGAAUAUUGAGAGGAGCCUUCUUUAGUACGAGAGGACCGAGAAGGACAUACCUCUGGUGUACCAGUUAUCGUGCCAACGGUAAACGCUGGGUAGCUAUGUAUGGAGUGGAUAACCGCUGAAAGCAUCUAAGUGGGAAGCCCACCUCAAGAUAAGUAUUCUCAC
Molecule: ribosomal RNA, 1243 nt
Filed under: metagenome
Description: bacterial LSU rRNA
Rfam family: Bacterial large subunit ribosomal RNA
Source: RNAcentral